Molecule: long non-coding RNA, 16218 nt
Filed under: Lactuca sativa (garden lettuce)
Lineage: Eukaryota; Viridiplantae; Streptophyta; Magnoliopsida; Asterales; Asteraceae
Description: long non-coding RNA (LSAT_LNC001501)
Source: RNAcentral
UGUAUUUCGCUCUAAGGUUAUCAUAGGCGUUUUUUAAUUGUCGUUGAUUCAAAUCCACGCCAAACUUUUCCUUAAUGGUUGUUCCUAAAUUGUGCCAUGAUUAUUUGUGUAAACUCAAACCUUUUCUACCCACGAUUUGCACUUCUUCAAUACAAGUUUGCGAUAAGCAUUUUGUUUGCUCAUUGGUCCAUGUAUAUUUAUCUCCCGUUGCUAAUAACAAAAAAAAAUAUAGAAUACAUACUUUAGCUACAAAGAUUAAUCAUAUUUCAACAUAAUCAACAUAAGUUUAGCAUAUUCAACAACAAUACAUCAUGAAUGAACAAAAAAAAAACUAUAUAAGCAAAUAUUAUACAACCCAAUCAACAAAUAAGUUUAACGAUUUAAGCACAAACUUGCAUAUAAGCGUAAACUUGAUCUCCAUUCAAGAAAUACAAGUGAUAACAAUUCAGUAAUUAAGUAUAUGAUUUCACCAUAUAAACUUGCAUAUAAGUUUAUGAUUUCAGCAUAUAAGUAUAUGAUUUUAGCAAGGAUUAUGAAUUUACCCAACAUUCAUAACAAUUCAACAAUGAAAUUCAUAAACCUAAAUAUAAUUUUGAGCAAGUUUAUAUGCUGAAUUUAACCAUCUAAUUUAUGAUCUCUAUUUUUUUUUAUAGUUUAUAUCUUGCUUUUACUUUAUGCAAAUAUGAAAUAUGCUUUCAAUUUCAAGAUCAUGUAAAGACGUAAAGUAGUAAAUUGCUUUCUAGACACUAGGCUAGGCUUAAUAAUUUGCAUCUUAUUUACAUAGAAAAUAAUCAGACUAUCAUAUUUAUUUAAUGAGUUUUUCAUUUUGGUUAAGUUCCUGAACCACCGGCAUAAUCUUAUAUGGAGAUUUAAGAAUUGUUGAAAAAAAAAAGUUUGUAUUUUAUUUGUUGAUCACCGAUUCACUGUUGUCCUCUAAAAAAUCAGCAGUGGUACUCGAUUGCAUAAGAAAUCAGAAAAAAAAAAUACCUGAUGUUGAAGAUGAUGGAAGCAAAGGUCAUGAUGUUGAAGACGAUGGCGGCAGCAGCAACGGCGACCGCGCGAGGGAGGGUGAACCCCCACCGGNACCGGCGACCGGAGAGGGAGGGGCAGCGGCGGCUGGAGUCGGUCUUCAGAUCGAUGAGAAGGGUGCCGAGAAGAAGAAGAAGAACGAACGAACGAAGAAGGUGUGGAACAGCAUUUUUUUGUUUAGGGCGUAGGGUGUUUUUUUAUUUAGAUGAGGUUAGAAGUGGUUAGAAGAGCCAAGCCCAACGAUGUGUGGGGAAGAAGACGGGAAGAGGUUUUUGAGCCCGAAGUCUGCAAAAAAAAAAAAAAAAAAAAAAAAAAAAAAAAAAAAAAACUGUUGCGAACUUAAAAGUGUUGUGCGUGUGCUGCGCCACGCAGCACUAAGAGGUUAGAAGAGUUUUUUUUUUUUUAAAUAAACACAACCUUAGAGUUAGAUACUCGUUCAAAGAAACAUCAAAGUAACGGAUAUUACUUAGGAUGAAGAGAUAACGUAUUGAGUCAUCAAGUGAGCCCUGUUUCGUUGAUGAUUCCGGGACGUAAUCAUCCUAAGGGGGAGAUAAUUAUAACGCCUGUAGAUUCGGGCUAGUCAAUUUAGAGAUAAUAGGGGUCGAAAACAACUUUUCGACAAAAGAUUAUUUAGAAUAAAUAAUCUUAACCAAGUUGUAGAAUAUGUCUCAAGGGUUCCAUACAUAUAAAGAGUGUUGAAAUCUUAACCAGGUUGUAGAAUAUGACGCAACACACGCGCAACACUUUUAAGUUCGCAACAGUUUGCUUUUUUGCAGGCUUGGCUCUUCUAACCACUUCUAACAUCAUCUAAAUAAAAAACACCCUACGCCCUAAACAAAAAAAACGCCGCUCCACACCUUCUUCGUUCGUUCGUUCUUCUUCUCGGCACCCUUCUCAUCGAUCUAAAGACCGACUCCAGCCACCGCUACCCCUCCCUUUCCGGUCGCCGGUGGGGGUUCACCCUCCCUCGCGCGGUCGCCGCUGCUGCUGCCGCCAUCGUCUUCAACAUCACGACCUUUGCUGCCAUCGUCUUCAACAUCAGGUAAUUUUUUUUUCUGAUUUCUUAUGCAAUUAAGUACCACUGCUGAUUUUUUAGAGGACAACAGUGAAUCGAUGAUCAACAAAUAAAAUACAAACUUUUUUUUUCAACAUUUCUUAAAUCUCCAUAUAAGAUUAUGCCGGUGGUUCAGGAACUUAACCAAAAUGAAAAACUCAUUCUAUAAAUAUGAUAGUCUGAUUAUUUUCUAUGUAAAUAGGAUGCAAAUUAUUAAGCCUCGCCUAGUGUCUAGAAAGCAAUUUACUACUUUACGUCUUUACAUGAUCUUGAAAUUGAAAGCAUAUUCAAUAUUUGCAUAAAGUAAAAGCAAGAUAUAAACUAUAAAGAAAAAAUAGAGAUCAUAAAUUAGAUGGUUAAAUUCAGCAUAUAAACUUGCUCAAAAUUAUAUUUAGGUUUAUGAAUUUUUGUGUUGAAUUGUUAUGAAUGUUGGGUAAAUUCAUAAUCCUUGCUUAAAUCAUAUACUUAUAGGCUGAAAUCAUAAACUUAUAUGCAAGUUUAUAUGGUGCUGGAUUGUCAAUCCCGUAUAGAUCUAUACACAAGUAUCACGCUCUCCCCACAAGAGCUUAUGGUUUAUAAUACAGGACUUUAAAUGUGUACUUGAAGGUACGUGAAGUCGAAUGUCUCACAAAAGUUUGUAUCAGAUACAUUUACGUAUGAAAAGUCCAUUUUUUUGUAAAUGUAAGUAUUUCCUUUCAAUAGUAUUUAUAGAGUGUAAAAUAUCAUGAAUAUCUCGUAAACUAUACAUAUUAUAGUUUUUCAAAAGUGUGUUUCAUUUAAAUGAUAAACCUUGGUGUAUUACCAACUUUGCAUGUAAAGUAUAACGUUUGUAUUUUAACAUUAGUUUAUGAUUUGUAUUUUAACAUAAGUUUUUCUUGUGUAUCACUUGUAUUUCUCCCCCUAAAGUAUAAUAAAAACAUGAAAAUAUAGGGGUAUGAACUCACCUAGUAAGUGUGAUGAUUUGAAGAAAACAAGACUUUUCUCGGGCAGCACUUCAACUGGAAAACGGUAAAUGUUUUGGGAGUUUCGGACCUUUGGACCUUUGUCGGAGUUUGGAUACGUAACAGGGGCGUCGGGAUAGUUUCGAGAGGCUCGAAAGUAAGAAAAUGGGAGAGAAAUGGUGUAAAUUAGCAAAACAAGUCGGAACCCUCGCAUCUUAUUUAUAGGGUGAAAAAUUGGAGUUCACGUCGUGAAUUAUGUUAUGAUCAAUUCGUAGACUCGACAUCUUAUAGCCUGACUCUUGGUAAACGUCUAUCACUGGUUCACAUCGUGAACCUCCUUUGACUCACGACAUGAAUCCUGACAGAUGUGGAAGUUCAUGCUCCGAACUUCAUAAAUUCAUAUCUCUCGUAUACGAGCUCAGAUUUUGACAUUCUUUAUAUCCACGCAUAGGUGAGAAUUUAAUCUACAACUUUCAUUUAGACUUCGUUGGCAAAUUUUGACUUUAUUUUUAAUUAUAUAUUUUUAAUAGUCUUGGACAGGAAAAGACCGUUAAAAAUUCAUAACUCCUUCAUAUUAUGUCCAUUUUCAUCUGUCUUUUUACCGUUGUACUACUAUUCUAGAGAUCUUCAAUUCUCGUUUAGGUUGUGUCGGCUAAAUAUCACUUGAUCUCUAUUUCGAGUUUUUAGCUGUCUACUGCUACUCCGAAACUUAGAAAAAUCGCAACUCCUUAAUACGAAAUCAGAUUUGGACGAUCUUUUUAUGUACGUUCACGGUUUAAUGAUAUCUACAACAUUCAUUUAAAUACUUAAAGCUAAGAAGUAUUUUAUUGAAAUUUCACAUUUUACACUUAAUAGUGUUUUACCGGUUUUGAUGUGUAUUUUCGAUUUGUCAUAACUUCUUCGUUAUAACUCGGAUUUUUGUGUUCUUUAAUUUUCUGAAAACCUUGUUACGAUAUCUACUACUUUAUGUAUCCCAACUGAGGCUUUUGAACAUUACAUUUCUGAUGCUAUUUUUAUUUAUUAAUUAAUUCAAAAUAGAUUACAAUAUUUGACUUAGGUCAUAACAUUGACUUGAAAUAUCGGAUUGUCACACUUGGUGCCUAAACCCUGGCGAUCAUGCAGACUUGGUGCCUAAACCCUGGCGACUGUGCGGACUUAGUGCCUGUUGUAUAAACCUUGUCGACUAUACAGACUUAGUGCCUAAAGCCUGGAGACUAUGCGGACUUAGUGCCUCUUUUAUAAAUCCUGGCGAAUAUGCAGACUUAGUGCCUAAACCCCGAUGACGAUGGACUUUGUGCCGAUUCCUUAGGAUGAUCCUUAGGAAUGAAUGAACGAGGAAUAGUUGAUUCUUAGGGUAGAUCCUUAAGAGUAAAGAAGAUAAUGGGGAUGGGUAAUUGGGUUAAUUUUUGAUUAUUAAACAUAAUAAUUAUAUUACUGUGGGUUGAAAACCCUAUGUACUCACCAGGUUUCCCAACCUGACCCACUCAAUGGUGUAGAGCUUUUUGCAUCUCCAGUGCUAAAUCAUCAGCAAUAAUAGAAGCUUUAGGUGAGGCAUAAGAAGGUGGAUCAGGUGAGGCACUAGGAGCUCGAGGUCUAGGAGUUAAGGGUUUAGCCCUUUUGUUGGGGUUACCAAAAGGUGAAUCAACAGAAGGUGGAGGCUGAGUAAAAUGCUCACUAGUAUGACUGGAAAAAAAAUCAUCCUCAUCUAUGUUAAUGGAAGGGGCGUCCAUAAGUUGUAGUGGUGCACCAUGGAAAGAAGAUGAUCCAUGUCCUGAUGGUGUUUAGGAUGUGGCAUAGCUGAGAUUACCAGAUGCACUAUUUCCAUCAAAGAGUUCUGCACAAAGCUCUGGAAACACUAAUGGGACGGUUUUCAAAGAAGCAGCUUUCUGAUGACCCUAAACGCAAUCAAUGUAACAAAAGUAGUAUAAGAAUAAACGAUUUAGACAGAUAGUCAAAAUCACCAUCAUUCACCAUAGUAUUCUUCUCAUUCCAGUCAAUCACACCUAAAACCCCCUAUCCAUCAUUCCAUCUCUAAGACAAUUAACCUCAACACCAGGUAUAACAACCUUAUCAGGAACAUUCAACCCUUUAUCUUCCUCAUUCAACAUCUUAUCAUUUCCAACAUUAACAUCAACAACAAUUUGAUCACCAUUCAUAGCCAACUCAGUAGAAGAAUCCAUAUGAUUAGCAAUAGAAGGGCUAACAGUCGUCAACGGACUCUUCACAAGCUUUAAAUCAGAAUUAGGUCUGGACAUCACAACCUCAUCCAUAGAAAUUUCCCGGUUCUUAGAAAGAUUAGCAGUAUUACUUGAUGGAAUAGAGAUUCCGUGAAUGAUCGAAGGCAACAUCUUAUUAAGUUCAAGUCACUUGAAAUUGAAAAUGAAACCUAGUAUGGGUCUUUAUAUCUCUUAGGUAUUAAUAGAAUUUUAUAUGUUUUUUUAAUGAAUCCAUAGUUUGGGUGAAUUGUAUUUUUGAUGCUAAGAAAUAAAAAUCGAAAUAUGUUAUAUGUAUGAAUUGAAACACAAGUAAAAUGCAUACAUCUUGUGUUUAUGAAUUUGUAUCGGGGUGACAAGUGAUUUUAUACAUGUUAUUUCAGCUUAUAUAGACAAACACUUUGUUUUUACUCUAAACUUUAUAUGAUUUAUUUGCUAACUGAUUCAAAGACUGCAUUUUGGAGCACCAUUUGAACAGUUGAAAUUUUGACACUUGUCUAAAAAGCAACUACUAUAACAACACAUGAAGUGUAACAUUUAUGAUGUCUCAUAUUAUUCUGUAUAUAUUUCUCCCAGAAUAAAUAUGACGAAUGAUCAGCCACAACAAGAAGUAGAACCACAACCACAGCCACAACAAGAACCAGAACCACAGCCACAGCCACAACCAAGGAAAAAAAGAACAGCCACAAGACUAAUCGACCAUAAAGAGCCACAAGAAGUUGAUUUCAACAAUAUUGGUAUGUAUGUUAGGAAGAAACAAAGUAAGUUUGCUAACGAGUGUGGUGUUAUUACGAGGUCGAUGACUUCUGUUGAAUAUACGAGUUGGAAGAAAGUGCCAAUUGCUCAAAAAGAUAUGCUAUGAUCGACAAUUAAGGUUCGUUAUCUACAUAAGACUCAUUACAUGUACUUUCAUCUAAUCAAGAUAUGUUAUUAAUACUUAGUAUCCUUAUUCUAAAACAAAAACAGAAACGUUGGAAUAUUCCGAAUGACAACCGUAAAAAAGAUGUGCUUUAGAACAUUCAACAGCCAGUUGAGAGCCUUCAAGAAAAGGCUUAAAAAGAAAUGUGGUAACCAAAGAGAUCCACUUGAGACCUACUCAUAUUUGGAAAGAAAUACAUUGCAGAGCUUUAGACAGAGAAUAUCAUCAGAGGAGUUCCAAGUGUGUUGGACUUUAAUUGCACAUAAUUAUAUUAGUUAUUGUGUUGCAUUGUUUUAACUGUGUUAAUUAAUUUCAUUUGCAGGAGAUAAGUGAGAAAGCAAGGGCGAGUUCAAUGAAUAAUAAGAAUCUUGCCCGUGUAGGACAACUUGGUUACAGGGGCAAGAAAGCUGAGUGGGAACAAGAGAUGGCAUCUGGUCAAUUGACACCCCAAUUGUAUCAGAUAAAAAGCGAGUGUUCACUACAUUAUGUUAUGGGUAGAAGGUCUAAAAAUCAGUUGGGGUCGAACAUAAUACCACCUACCAUACAACCCAUACUGCACAAGCUUGUAAGCAAAUUCUUUUAAUCAUUUAUAUCUAGGUAAUUACUCUCAUUGGUUUGAUGUUUUCGUUAACAGGUUGAUGUCCAGACUUAAAUCUCUCUGAAGGAGAUUUGGUGCUCAAUCCAAGAGAGGACUUAUUGACAAAGGUAAUAGGACCGAAGCACCCAGGCCGUACCAGGGCUGUUGGUCAUGAUGUUGGAUUGAGAAAAAGGAUGCAAGGGACUGACUAAAAAAAAAAAAAAAAAAAAAAAAGAGGAAAAAACAUGAAACGAAACUAUUGUUAAAUUGCAGGCAACGAUAGAUCAGAUGGGCUCCCAACUGGCAAAGCUACAAGCACACGUUUACUUACAGCAUGGGUCUACGAACCAUGCCCCAGAUGAUGUAAGCUUAGGGGUUCAACAAAAUAAUUAUGGCUCGACUCCAACAUUAGAUGCUUUGGAUGCGAUAAAGGUAAAUGAGUGUAUUUAUUUUCCAGUAACAUCUAGUAAAUGAGUGACUUACAGCAGGCUAAAAUACUAGUUUUAUUACAAUAUUUGUGUUAGAAAAUGCAACAUUGUAAAAAUUGUGUUUGAGUUUACCUUAAUAUCAUCAUUUUGGUUGAAUAAUUGAGACAAAAGACUCUAGUUUUUUAACUAAAAUGUUUUCUUAGAAGGGUUUGAACUAUAAUAGAUAUACUUAAAAUGGUUAAAAAUUCAAAUAUAGUUAUUACAUUAUUAUGCACUUUUUUGUUUAUUAUCCUUCAAAGAUCUUUUAUUUUUAUUUUUGUUUUACUAUAUAUGUACAGAUGCCUACCCCUUAUGAAUUGGUGUUAUCUUAUGGGGAGUUGUACCAAAAAUGUGUCAAUGGAUUGGUCUUUCCAUAUGGGAAUGGGUUAAUACACACAUUGCCUUUACGAGAAAAUCACAUAAAGGUUAUGAUAGACGACAUCGAUAGUAGAUAUGAAAACUUUCCGAGAAAAUCACCUGGAGGUUAUGAUAGACGACAUCGAUAGUAGAUAUGAAAACUUUUCGAGAAAAUCACCUGAUGGUUAUGAUAGACGACAUCGACAGUAGAGGAAAAUCACCUGAUGGUUAUGAUAGACGACCGACAGUAGAGGAAAGUUUUCAUAUCUACUAUCGAUGUCGUCUAUCAUAACCUUCAGGUGAUUUUCUCGUAAAGGCAAUGUGUGUAUUAAUCCAUUCCCAUAUGGAAAGACCAAUCCCUUGACACAUUUUUGGUCCAACUCCCCAUAAGGUAACACCAAUUCACAAGGGCUAGGCAUCUAUAUACAUAUAGUAAAACAAAAAUAAAAAUAAAAGAUUUUUGAAGGAUAAUAAACAAAAAAAGUGCAUAAUAAUGUAAUAACUAUAUUUGAAUUUUUAACCAUUUUAAGUAUACCUAUUAUAGUUCAAACCCUUCUAAGAAAACAUUUUAGUUAAAAAAACUAAAGUCUUUUGUCUCAAAUAUGCAACCAAAAUGAUCAUAUUAAGGUAAACUUAAACAAUUUUUACAAUGUUGCAUUUUGUAACACAAAUAUUGUAAUAAAACUAGUAUUUGAGUCUGCUAUAAGUCACUUAUUUACUAGAUGUUACUGGAAAAUAAAUACACUCAUUUACCUUUAUCGCAACCAAAACAUCUAAUGUUUAAGUCGAGCCAUAAUUAUUUUGUUGAACCCCUAAGCUUACAUCAUCUGGGGCAUGGUUCCUAGACCCAUGAUGAAAUGGGUCUUAUGUAGAUAACAAACCUUAAUUGUCGAUCAUAGCAUAUCUUUUUGCGCAAUUGGCACUUUCUUCCAACUCAUAUAUUCAACAGAAAUCAUCGACCUCGUAAUAACACCACACUCAUUAGCAUACUUACUUUGUUUCUUCCCAACAUACAGACCAAUAUUGUUGAAAUCAACUUCUUGUGGCUCUUUAUGGUCGAUUAGUCUUGUGGCUGUUCUUUUUUUCCUCGGUUGUGGUUGUGGCUGUGGUUCUGGUUCUUGUUGUGGCUGUGGUUGUGGUUCUACUUCUUGUUGUGGCUGAUCAUUCGUCAUAUUUAUUCUGGGAGAAAUAUAUACAGAAUAAUAUGAGACAUCAUAAAUGUUACACUUCAUGUGUUGUUAUAGUAGUUGCUUUUUAGACAAGUGUCAAAAUUUCAACUGUUCAAAUGGUGCUCCAAAAUGCAGUCUUUGAAUCAGUUAGCAAAUAAAUCAUAUAAAGUUUAGAGUAAAAACAAAGUGUUUGUCUAUAUAAGCUGAAAUAACAUGUAUAAAAUCACUUGUCACCCCGAUACAAAUUCAUAAACACAAGAUGUAUGCAUUUUACUUGUGUUUCAAUUCAUACAUAUAACAUAUUUCGAUUUUUAUUUCUUAGCAUCAAAAAUACAAUUCACCCAAACUAUGGAUUCAUUAAAAAAACAUAUAAAAUUCUAUUAAUACCUAAGAGAUAUAAAGACCCAUACUAGGUUUCAUUUUCAAUUUCAAGUGACUUGAACUUAAUAAGAUGUUGCCUUCGAUCAUUCACGGAAUCUCUAUUCCAUCAAGUAAUACUGCUAAUCUUUCUAAGAACCGGGAAAUUUCUAUGGAUGAGGUUGUGAUGUCCAGACCUAAUUCUGAUUUAAAGCUUGUGAAGAGUCCGUUGACGACUGUUAGCCCUUCUAUUGCUAAUCAUAUGGAUUCUUCUACUGAGUUGGCUAUGAAUGGUGAUCAAAUUGUUGUUGAUGUUAAUGUUGGAAAUGAUAAGAUGUUGAAUGAGGAAGAUAAAGGGUUGAAUGUUCCUGAUAAGGUUGUUAUACCUGGUGUUGAGGUUAAUUGUCUUAGAGAUGGAACGAUGGAUAGGGGGUUUCAGGUGUGAUUGACUGGAAUGAAAAGAAUACUAUGGUGAAUGAUGGUGAUUUUGACUAUCUGUCUAAAUCUUCUAAAUGGGAUGAUAGUGGUAAUGUGGUGGUGGAAUCAGAUGCCGAUUCUGAUGUCGAAUUGAGUAAGGAAGAAGGGGAGGUCAAGGAUUGUGCCCCACUGGGAAAAAUUUCUGAUGAAUAUUUGAUAUUGCAGAAGGCUGCCACUGUUAUCAACAUCAUUAAUCUGGAACCUUCUCUUCUAGGUGAUGCUAAUAAGGGAAGACAAGUUAUGGAUGCUUUUAAUUAUGAAGGUGAAAAAAUUUCUAUUGAUCCUAUAGAUAAAGAUAUUGUUAGUAAUAAAUUGUCAUAUGCUGGAGUUCUUAAUGGUAGAACUCAUAAAGGAAAGUUGCGAGUUAAGUAUAUCCCUUCAAUUGAUGGUUCUGAUGAAGGGCCUGUGGUUCUGCCAAUUGAUAAUUUGAAGAAGGCAAGUAUUCCUUUCUUGAAUACCUUGUAUGGUUAUUUGCUUGAUAAGAAGAUUGGGUUUCCUGUGAAUACCUUGUAUGGUUAUUUGCUUGAUAAGAAGGUUGGACUGCUAGAGAUCAAAAUAGGAAGUGGAACCGGGGGAGUGUUAGCCAUUGGAAUCAGCAAAAGAAUUAGCAGUAUGUUGCUGCUAGUAAUAUUUCUAACAGUCUGGAUAUGCAGGGGCAUAAUGGGAAAGGAAGUGUGAAUUCUGGUAGUUUAAAGAAAACAGAGAAGGGCAAGGGUAAUAAGGACAAUCAUAAGGAUAACAUGAGUAGUAAUUUUGUGAAUGUGAAUCGUUUUGCUAUUUUAAAUGAUAUUACUAAUGAUUUUGUUGAUAAUUUAGAGAAGAGUAUGAAGAGUCACCGGGUUAUUUCUUCCAAGUCCGGUUCACGUCGGUUGGACUCUAUUUCUCAGCCUGAUCCGGGUAGGGAUGGCAAAAAAACCCGAACCCGACGGGGAAACCCGAUUCCCGAAUUUUUCGGGUCAGGUCGGGUCAGCACUAUCGGGUAUCGGACCGGGUUUCGGGUUCUUAUCGGGUAUUUUUUCCGGGUUCGGGUCAGGGAGUGGGUUGUGUCUGCCCCGACCCGCCCCGCCCCGAAUAUAUAUAUAUAUUACACUUCAGCCCUAACAGUAACAAAACUCGUUGUCUCGUUCCGUCGUUCGCAAAUCGCAACAAAUCACACUUCUCACUCUUCUCUUCGUCUUCUACUAACUCUUCUAGGUUACAGNCAGCCCUAACAGUAACAAAACUCGUUCCCUGGUUCGCAAAUCGCAACAAAUCACACUUCUCACUCUUAACUCUUCUAGGUUACAGUCGAGACCGAGAGCCGACAUUCCAAAUCGCAAGCUACGAGCCUGCUGCCUGCGAUAGACGAUCGACGUCUUCGAUAGUUCGAUCGAGAGCCGACAUUAAUAGCCGAGACCGAGAGCCGACAUUCUACUAAUCUUCUCUUCGUCUUCUACGAACGACUGUCUUCGAUAGUUCGAUCGACGCCACAGUGACGCUCACGCACAAGGAACAAUCACAGGUAAUCGAUCAUUCGGUCGCAUCUUUCUUUAAUUCUCUUCAUUUUUCUUGAAAUUGAGCAUAUGUAAUCGAUCACUACUUGUAUCUUUCUCUUCAAUCGGUCACUGUGACUUGUAAAUGUGUAUCUUUCUCUUCAAUCGGUCACUACGACACUACCUGUGGUAAUUUGGAUUCUUGAAAUCAAUUAGAAUAUGUGUCCUACAGUCCUACUGUAAUCUGUUUCUUUCUUCCCUGUAUCAAUUUCUUAAAAUCAAUUUCUUAUUUAUGGCUGUGAAUCUGUAAAUCUUUCUUUCCCUGUAAAUCUUUCUUUCCCUGUAUCAAUUUCUUAGAAUAAUGUCCUGAUGGCUGUGAAUCUGUAAAGUAUGGCUGUAUCUUUUUCAUUUGUGUGACCCUGUGAAUCUGUAAAGUAUGGCUGUAUCUUUUUCAUUUGUGUGACCCUGUGAAUCUGUAAAGUAUGGCUGUAUCUUUUUCAUUUGUGUGACCCUGUAUGGCUGUAUCUGUAAAGUAAUUUCUCUUCAAUCGCUCACUGUGACCCUGUAUGGCUGUAUCUUUUUCAUUUGUGUGGUUAAGAAUAAUGUCCUGAUAGGUAAACUAAUAUUUUUCAGGAAAUAUGAAUUCAACUAGUCAAAAUCAUGCUCCAACUGCAAGUAGUCAAGAUGUGGGAGGUUCGGGUUCUAAUCAACAAAAUACUGAUUCUGUGGAUCAACAAGAUGGAACAAAUAUUAAUGAUACAGACACAGUUUUUGAUGAAGAUGGAGAUGAAGUUGUUGGUUCGAAAAGAGCAAUACGUUCACCGGCAUGGCAACAUUUUAUAAAAUUUAAAUUGAAUGAUGAAGUUAAAGCAAGAUGUAAACAUUGCUCUAAAGUGUUGGGUGCAGAUAGCAAGAAUGGCACAAAACAUUUACUUGCACAUUAUCAGCGUUGUUUACACAAACCUUAUCCAGAUAUUCGUCAAUCUAUCUUGGUGCAAGAAAAAAAGAAAUUAGAUGGUACUACAACGCAUGUUUCAAACUAUACAUUUAAUGCUGAUACUUCUAGGAAGGAUUUGGCUGAAAUGAUUAUUGUGCAUGAGUAUCCGCUUUCAAUUGUAGAGCAUCAUGGAUUUAGGAAGUUUGUGGGAGGUCUUCAACCUUUGUUUAAGGUUCCUUGUCGAAACACCAUCAAGGACGACAUCAAAAGAAUUUAUGAUUACGAAAGGGAUAAAACUAUGAGUUUGUUAGCAAAGACCAAAAGCAGAAUUGCAGUUACUACUGAUAUGUGGACAUCUAAUCAUCAAAAAAAAGGAUUUAUGGCAAUGACAGCACAUUUUGUAGAUCAAAACUGGAACUUGCAAAGCAGAAUUAUGAGGUAUAUUAUACUUAUUUAACUAUAAUUUAUACGUACUUAUUAUUUAUAUGUUAAUAUUAACAUAUAUAUUUAUAUAUUCUUAAACAGGUUUAUUUACGUGCCUUGUCCGCAUACAUCUGAUGUUCUUGCCGACAUACUUUAUACUACUUUGUGUGAUUGGAAUCUUGAUAGGAAAGUGUCAACUCUUACUGUGGAUAAUUGCACCACAAAUGAUGCAAUUAUCAGGAUAUUAUUAGAGAAACUUCCUCUAAAAUCACUAAUGAUGAAUGGUGAUUUGUUUCAUAUGCGUUGCUGCGCACAUAUUCUCAAUCUUAUUGUCCAAGAUGGCUUAUCUCUCAUUAAAUUUGAGAUUGAGAGAAUCAGAGAGAGUGUUGCAUUUUGGUCUGCAUCACCAAAGAGGGAGCAAAAUUUUGUGACAGCAGCAGAACAGUUGGGAAUACCAUACUCAAAGAAGUUGAUACUUGACUGCAAGACACGGUGGAACUCUACAUUCUUGAUGUUGAGUGUUGCUAUAAGCUACAAAGAGGUUUUCGAUCGGGUAAAGACAAGAGACUCGAAGUAUACAUGUUUUCCUACAGAAAAGGAUUGGGAGUUGGCUAGUGAGAUUUGUGAAAGAUUACAACUUUUUUAUGAGGUGACUGUUAUGUUCUCUGGUUCAAAGUAUCCUACAGCUAAUGUUUUCUUUCCUUUGAUAUGUGAGAUUGGGUAUUCUUUGCGUGAGUGGACGAAAUCUCCUAUUGAGGAGAUUAAGAUGAUGGCUGACCAAAUGGUUUCUAAGUUCAAUAAGUAUUGGUCUGUAAUUCAUGGGGUAAUGGGAAUGGCAGCGGUUUUAGAUCCACGAUACAAAUUAAAGUUUGUGGAGUUACUUUUUCCUGUACUUUAUGGAGAAGAAAAGGCAAAGAUUGAAUUUCAAAAUUUGGAGGCGUUUGUCCAAACUUUGUUUCAAGAGUACGUGUCAAGUAAUGCAUCUAAAAAAAGGAAGAGUGAAGGUAUUAUAUUCUUCUUAUUGUUUGUAUAAUAAAUAGAUCAUAUCUUAAAUUAUUAACAUUUUUAUAAUAAACAUUAGGUUUUUAUGGUGGUUCAGUUCCUGGUUCAUCUUCAUUUGGUUCUAGUAUCUCUUCCGGUCAUCGUGUUGGAUUCAAAAAGCUCUUAUCGGAUAUUGCUUCUAUUACUAGAGAUGAUGAUGAAUCAGGAGGUAUGAGUGAGUUGGAUAACUACUUGAAGGAGAAAUUGUUGCCUAAAGAUAUGGAACUUGAUUUGUUGGCAUGGUGGAAAACAAAUGGGAUUAAGUACCCGACACUACAAAGGAUAGCUAAAGAUAUAUUAGCUAUUCCUGUUUCCACUGUUGCCUCGGAAUCAGCUUUCAGCACUAGUGGAAGAUUAGUAAGUCCUCAUCGUAGUCGACUUCAUCCAAAGACAUUGGAGGCUUUAAUGUGUGCUCAAAGUUGGUUGUUGAAUGAAAUUCGAGGUAGUAUACUAUUUUAUAUUAAUUAUAUGAAAUUGUGAUUUUUUUUUUGCAUAUUAAUAAUAUUAAUUUUAUGUAGCAACUUGUUCUGAAGAGACCGAGGCAUAUUGUCGUUCUGUUGAAUUUGAUUAUGAUGUGGAAGAGGUAAAACGACACUUCUAAAAAUAUUAAUUUUAUAUCGUUUCCAUGAUUUUGUUUGAUUUUGAGUUUGUUUAAUAUUUUGUAGGAAAACACUAAAGAAAACGGGACAACAAGUUUGGAUGAUUUUGUUUGAUUUUGAGUUUGUAACUUUGUUUUAAUGUUAAUUGGUAAUGUAUUAUUGUGAUGAAUUAGUUUUUCAUGUUGUGUACUUGGAUGUUUUGGUUGGUUGGUUGAUGUUACAAUAUUAGACUAUUAGUAAUUUCUAUUUGGUUAAAUGAUUGAAGAACUUAUUUGGUAUUUUAAGCCUAUGCAACGUCUUAAUUUAUCAUUAUGUAUUUGUAGUUUUUCCUUCUUCUUUUUCUGCCAUAUUUCGGGUUAUAGGGUCGGGUUAUCGGGUAAUUAUCGGGUUUCGGGUUUAGGGUCGGGUUCGGGGAAAGUUUCAGCCCCGACGGGGCGCCCCGAUAAGAAACCCGUCGGGUAUCGGGUCGGGUUCGGGUACAUAUGUGAAAAUCGGGUUCGGGUUUGGGACACCAUGCCCCGCCCCGUUGCCAUUCCUAGAUCCGGGUCAUAUUAAUGCCACACCUAUUGGGAUUAAUUAUGUUAUUAAUUCCAAGGAAGAUUACAAUAUGAAGAACCUGGUUGAUGUUGCUUCUAAUAAGUUUGUGGGGGGUGAGGGUAAGGAUUGUUUGAACCAGGGUUGUGGUGAGAGCAGUUCAAAAAAUUUUGAUGUUGCGUGAUGUUUAGCUUCCAGUUGACUUGGGUUUGGGUUGCUGCGCAGGGUUGGAGAGGUUUGUUGGGCUUCAGGUGGAUUAUGGCUUAGGAUUAUUGCUGUUCUCCUAGGCUGUUGAGGACUUGGAGUUGGUACUUUUUGGUUUUGGAGGUUUUUUGUUUUAUGGUUUGUUUUUUGUGGGUUAGAUUUUGGUAUGUUGGUAGUAGUAGAAAAUGGCUAAGUAUUUGGAUUUGGAUAGGUUGGAUUGGGUUUAGCCUUUGGUUUUUGGUUUCUGUGGGUUGUAAGCGAGAAAACACUCAAAUAUUGUUAGUCGUGAUCAAAGAGACCCAAUUUGUUUCGAUCUAGUCCUUUAGGCAUAACAUCAAACACUUGGAAGGCAUAAUAAAAUAACCCUUAACACUCACCAUUUUCCAGCAAUAAGAACUGCCCACAUGACUUGAAACUUAUCAGCAAUUGCAAAUGAGAUUCAUUAUGAAAAAAUGAAACAACAAUACGAGGUUAAGAUUGAGAAUAGAAGUGGGUUAAGUUUGAAUCAAGCAAAUAGUCUAGCUGAAUGAACAAACAGUGAGUCAAUUGUGAUCAACUAAAAUUGAGUGCGAAAGUUAUUACUUGAAAUAAACAUACAGUGGAUCGGAAAUUCAAGUCACGUAAACGGAUUCCAAAACUUGAUACAAAAAAUGAGUUUUAGUCGAAAUCUUACAGCAAUACGUAGCGUUUCUUCAUUGAAUAUAGCAGCCAGAAAACUUCGAUUUCAUGUUGAUUUAGAGAGUCAGUGUUUGCGAUCGGUGGUUUUCAAAGUUGUAGAAGCAGAUAGUAGCUUGGGAAUCGCGUGAAGGGGCGGGAUAAUGAAAAUUUAUGGCGGGAUAACAAAAAUUGAUAGCAGUAUUGUUUUAUUUGGUAAUAUAUGUUGCAAAUUAAUUUUUAUGGAAAUCGGCUAAAAAAAACAUAAUGAUCAGUUAUAUCGUAAAUUUAAUUUGUAUAGUUUAAUUGCGUAUCUUAUCCCACCCAAAAAAAAAUCAACAACCUUUAUAGAUUCGAUUCAUUAUUUAUCAAAAAAAAUAUAAUCAAAACUUAUAUAGAUGUUGGUUAUUUAAAAUAAACAAUUUUUUUUAUAAAUAAACUAUGCAGGUAUAAUUUAUCAAAACAAAUGUUUGAAUUUAGAAAAAUGAGGUAAAAAAUAGCAAAAGAAAUUCAAGAAGGGAGAAAACCCUAAAAUGAAAACUACCACCGUUGCUCCACCAUUUCCAGCUAUACUCCUUUCCAGUUUUCAGCUCAUCUCCAGCGAUCGUGUCUCCUUUCUUUGCAUCUCUACUAAUUUGACCUCUCAUCUUCUUAAAUGUUCAGGUUGUUUUAUUGUUCUUGAGAUCUUGAAAUAUGAUAAAGUACAGAGCAAUGUUGAUAAUUCGUUUUUGAAAAUUGAAAUAUAACAAGAUAAGAGAUAAAGUUUGGAAAGUGAAUAAAAAUGACAAAAAAAG